CCACCUGCUGGCCUGGAGCGUGGCCGACGCCGACUACUGGUCGGCGGGACGCUCGUCCAUCACGAGCGAGGUGGUC
RNAcentral lists this transfer RNA (76 nucleotides) under Barrientosiimonas humi. RNAcentral's name for it is "tRNA-Ser(act)". Lineage: Bacteria; Bacillati; Actinomycetota; Actinomycetes; Micrococcales; Dermacoccaceae. The record is from RNAcentral.